Long non-coding RNA from Bombina bombina (fire-bellied toad), 269 nucleotides. RefSeq lists it as uncharacterized. The transcript has 4 exons. The record is from RefSeq and is a predicted model, not a curated record. NCBI's taxonomy places the organism in Eukaryota, Metazoa, Chordata, Amphibia, Anura, Bombinatoridae.
CUCUGAUGAAAAAGCGAUUUCAAAAAACAGACUUGGCUACUUCUUUAACAGAAAUGCAUAUCUGCAGCCACUCUUGAAGAAUUAUAGAAAUUAUGCAAAGGGUGAUGACUCUUCAGAAGAAAAUGGCGAUAGCUCAGAUGAGAGUGAAUCCAGUGAAGUUGGUACCAAUGGAAACAAGGCAGGUCCGGUAGGGACUAAACCAGCAGGCGCUGAAGAAAAAGCAGCUGGAAAAGAAGAUGACUCUGAAGAAGAAGAGGCUGAAAAUGGUG